Molecule: long non-coding RNA, 892 nt
Organism: Arvicanthis niloticus (Nile rat)
Lineage: Eukaryota; Metazoa; Chordata; Mammalia; Rodentia; Muridae
Source: RefSeq, a predicted model, not a curated record
UCUCUCUCUCUCUCUCUCUCUCUCGAUGCUUCCGGGCCUCAACGACCCCCGGGUUAUCCGAUCCGCCUGACGAGUGUCCACCGGGAAAAGAAGGCUGCCUAGAAGGGACAGGCCAGGGACAGGCCUUCAGGACUUGUGCAGGCUAGUCUCUAGGGGAUGCUCCUUGGAGACUUCUUCUCCACCAUACCAUUCCCCGACUAUUCCUCAUGCCUGCUGGACCACUGGCUCAAAACUUGGGGUACCUGUGACCGCAGAGACCAACGUCCUUGGAUCCAUCUCCCAAGUUCCGCAUUCAUUGUGUAUAGGACAACUGACUUGGACCAGUCUAUGCUACAGGGUCCAACCCAGAACAUUCUUGGGUUUCAGUUUUCCCUGACUUGGCAAUGGGUACAUUCUACUGGAAAUGACCAGAGUGUAUUAUCAACCCAUCCAAGUUCUCCCCACCGCCACCCCGGUCUCCAGCUGUAGCCUUCCCUGCAGCCAGACCUGGGGAUCUUCUGGAUCUGACCAGAUAAAGUUGCUAUACUUCCCGUGUGCAAGGCUGGGUGACCUUGGUGUUGAAUCAUUCAUUGAAGGUUGGAAGCCCUGAAGGUUGGAUCAUAGGCUAUUCCUUUAAAGGAUGUUGUAAUUAGAAGUUUUGAUUAGUAAAUGUUGAGAUCACGGCAGGUCGGGCUAUCUUUUAUGGGGAUAUGUAUUUUGGUAUUGUACUAGAGACUGAAUCCAGGGCUUUGUGUAGGCUUGGCAAGCGCUCUGCCACCAAGUACCAGCCCCAGCUCCCUUUUCACUUUUUCUUAAACAUGUAAACAUUUUUAAAGUGUAAUUUUAUGUGUACAGGUGUUUUGCCUGCAUGCAUGUCUGUGGACCAUGAACACGCGGUGCCCAUGAAGGACAG